UCCAGUCGUCGGGUCAAUUUGGAACGCGUACGAAUUCGCGCGCGUCUUAUCAACGCCAUACAUUUUAAGAAGAGCAAACACAAAGCAGUUGUAAACCACAGUGAAGAUUAUUAAGUGUAAUAAAAAUCUAGUAAAUAUUUGCAAAGAAUUUCAUGUGAAAAAAAAAUUAUUUAAAUAAUUUGGCACAGUAAAAAUUUUGUGUGAAUGAAAAAAAAAAAAAAAUUGUGUAAAUUGUGAAAAUUGUUGGCAAAUCAGAAGGUGAAAAACGCGAAAAAUUCUGCUGCAACGUUUUCGAAAGAAAGCAACAGCAACAAAACAAAAAGCAGAGGAAAACAAGGAACAAGAAAGGCCAAACACAAAUCCAGCAAAACACAAUAACAAGACAAACCAAAAACAACAAAAAAAGUGCUCUAAAAGUCAAGCCGCGUCCUACGUCGCUACGUCGCUAGCUCCGCGUGUGCGUGCGUACGCCUGGCUUCCCCGCGCCGUCAACGACGCCGUCGGCAUCACCGCAAUCGUCGCGCUCGCCCGUAGUAUCCGUUUUCACGUACGCGUUUGCCGCUUCAGAGUCCGUGUUUUGUACAGCUUUGUGUACGUGCGUCCACGUGCGUGCGUGUGUGUGUGUGUUGCUGCGUAGACUAUUUGUUCCGGCACUGCCGCAGUUAUCCUCGUGCAAAGUGACGACGCGCGCUCACCAGUGAAGCUUUAGCCGCCAAUGCGCCGAUGAACAAAACGAAACUUUUCUAAAUAAUUGGAUUUUAAUGGCAACAUACACGUUUAUUGGAAAAGUGAAACUGAAAAAAGCAAAAAUAAAAUAAGAAAAAAUAAAAAAAAAACGUAUGUACGCACAUAUACACAUGCGCAUGUAUGUAUAUAAAUUAUGCACAAUUAUACAGCUGUAAAAAUGGGUAGGCAGUGCGUAAAAUGGAAGCCAAAUUGAGAGGAUAUGUUAAGAAAUGUAAAUAAAAUAUAAUUUGAAAAGAAAGUGUUGAGUGCAAAAGAAUUCAAGUGGUUUGAAAAUCGAGACUUUUGAGGUAAAAAAAAAAUGUUAUCAAAAAAUAAGUGUUUAAAAAUAAGUAACUAAAUAAAAAAAGUGUACGAAAUUAAUUACCCAUUGUAAAAAUAAGAAAACAAAUGGUAUAUCAAUAUCACUCCCCAUACAUACAUACAUACAUCUGUCCAUACAUGCGCAUAUAGGCAAUCAAUCUUUGCCAGCUUAAAGUUCCUGCAUCACUCAUACGCCCCAGCGCACCAACCUGCACACUUCCUGUUGUUCGUCUGCUUGUAACACGCAUACGUGCAUACAAACAUAUUAGAUAUACAUAUUUCCAUAGAGUAGCUAUGUGUAGCAGCAAGCGUUGAAAACCAAACGAGCCAACCAGCCGGGCAGCUAACCAACCCCGUAAGCUGACGCGGCAGUGAACCAAAGUUCUCGUUAACCUCACAGCUGCCUCACACUCAAUUGGCUGCUAGCGGCUACGGAUGCCACAUGCACUACCUCCUAUACUCACACACACACACACAUUGUUUGCAAUUAUAUAGAACAAUGUGCGUUUGCUGUUUAAGGCGUAAGUGAGGAGUGGAUAUGAAUUAAAAAGGAUGAACUUUUAGUGCUGAAAAAUAAAAGUGGCAAACAAAGAUCUUUUUAAAGACAAAAAUAAAGUGAAAAAUAAAGCAAAUAAAAGUAAAUGGAAAGAAAAUAAAGGAAUAAGUAAACAAAAGUGUGAGAAAGUGUAGGAGCAACAACAAAAUAAUUUCAAAAUUGAAACAAAAAAAUAUGAAAAUAAAAAUAAAAACCACAGCAACAACAUCCAAGUAUGCAACAAGCAUGCCCGCUACAAGUUUAGCAGCCUAAAAGUCUAUGCGUCAUAGAAACCAUUCUGUUCGAUUUAAAGUUCAUACAGCAACCAGCAAACAGCAGCUGCCUUCUUCGAGAAAAUCUAGAAGGAAAACCGAAAAACAAGCAAAAAAGUAAAGAGCAAAAAAAAUCGUUCCAUCCUUCACCAUUAUUUGCUGCUCUGGUAUAUAUAAAUAAAGGCUUAAGCAACAAUAAUACCAACAACAGCAACAACAACAACAGCGAAGGCCACCACAACAACAGCAAAAAAAAAAAAGAAAACAAAGAAAGUAAGCAACGAAAAAGUUUUUCAA
Anastrepha ludens (Mexican fruit fly) is the source of this 2151-nucleotide long non-coding RNA. RefSeq lists it as uncharacterized. The transcript has 2 exons. Lineage: Eukaryota; Metazoa; Arthropoda; Insecta; Diptera; Tephritidae. The record is from RefSeq and is a predicted model, not a curated record.